UGGGGAAUCUUGCGCAAUGGUCUAACGACUGACGCAGCGACGCCGCGUGUGGGAGGACGCCUUUCGGGGUGUAAACCACUGUUGCCCGGGACGAACUGCGCGAUUCAUCGCGCGUGACGGUACCGGGUGAGGAAGCACCGGCUAACUCCGUGCCAGCAGCCGCGGUAAUACGGAGGGUGCGAGCGUUGUCCGGAAUCAUUGGGCGUAAAGGGCGCGUAGGUGGCCCGGUCAGUCCGUGGUGAAAGCGCGGGGCUCAACCCUGCGUCGGCCAUGGAUACUGUCGCGGCUCGAGCACUGUAGAGGCAGGCGGAAUUCCGGGUGUAGCGGUGGAAUGCGUAGAGAUCCGGAAGAACACCGGUGGCGAAGGCGGCCUGCUGGGCAGUUUAGCUGACACUGAGGCGCGACAGCGUGGGGAGCAAACAG
This 423-nucleotide ribosomal RNA is filed under the name uncultured bacterium. Its description in RNAcentral is "bacterial SSU rRNA". It matches the Rfam family "Bacterial small subunit ribosomal RNA", at positions 355 to 775 of the family's 1533-position model. The record is from RNAcentral.